RNAcentral lists this ribosomal RNA (468 nucleotides) under uncultured bacterium. Its description in RNAcentral is "partial 16S ribosomal RNA". It matches the Rfam family "Bacterial small subunit ribosomal RNA", at positions 28 to 507 of the family's 1533-position model. The record is from RNAcentral.
GACGAACGCUGGCGGCGUGCUUAACACAUGCAAGUCGAACGGAAAGGCCCUGCUUUUGUGGGGUGCUCGAGUGGCGAACGGGUGAGUAACACGUGAGUAACCUGCCCUUGACUUUGGGAUAACUUCAGGAAACUGGGGCUAAUACCGGAUAGGAGCUCCUGCUGCAUGGUGGGGGUUGGAAAGUUUCGGCGGUUGGGGAUGGACUCGCGGCUUAUCAGCUUGUUGGUGGGGUAGUGGCUUACCAAGGCCUUGACGGGUAGCCGGCCUGAGAGGGUGACCGGCCACAUUGGGACUGAGAUACGGCCCAGACUCCUACGGGAGGCAGCAGUGGGGAAUAUUGCACAAUGGGCGGAAGCCUGAUGCAGCAACGCCGCGUGCGGGAUGACGGCCUUCGGGUUGUAAACCGCUUUCGCCUGUGACGAAGCGUGAGUGACGGCAAUGGGUAAAGAAGCACCGGCUAACUACGUG